CCUACGGGGGGCUGCAGUGGGGAAUUUUGGACAAUGGGCGCAAGCCUGAUCCAGCAAUGCCGCGUGCAGGAAGAAGGCCUUCGGGUUGUAAACUGCUUUUGUCAGGGAAGAAAUCUUCUGGGCUAAUACCCCGGGAGGAUGACGGUACCUGAAGAAUAAGCACCGGCUAACUACGUGCCAGCAGCCGCGGUAAUACGUAGGGUGCGAGCGUUAAUCGGAAUUACUGGGCGUAAAGCGUGCGCAGGCGGCUUUGCAAGACAGAUGUGAAAUCCCCGGGCUCAACCUGGGAACUGCAUUUGUGACUGCAAGGCUAGAGUACGGCAGAGGGGGAUGGAAUUCCGCGUGUAGCAGUGAAAUGCGUAGAUAUGCGGAGGAACACCAAUGGCGAAGGCAAUCCCCUGGGCCUGUACUGACGCUCAUGCACGAAAGCGUGGGGAGCAAACAGGAUUAGAUACCCCGGUAGUC
This 465-nucleotide ribosomal RNA is filed under the name uncultured Aquabacterium sp. RNAcentral describes it as "bacterial SSU rRNA". It matches the Rfam family "Bacterial small subunit ribosomal RNA", at positions 338 to 795 of the family's 1533-position model. Lineage: Bacteria; Pseudomonadati; Pseudomonadota; Betaproteobacteria; Burkholderiales; Sphaerotilaceae. The record is from RNAcentral.